This 780-nucleotide ribosomal RNA is filed under the name uncultured bacterium. Its description in RNAcentral is "bacterial SSU rRNA". It matches the Rfam family "Bacterial small subunit ribosomal RNA", at positions 8 to 796 of the family's 1533-position model. The record is from RNAcentral.
AGAGUUUGAUCAUGGCUCAGGACGAACGCUGGCGGCGUGCCUAAAACAUGCAAGUCGAACGAGGUCCAUCCAGUGGCAACACUGGUGAAGACCUAGUGGCGAACGGGUGAGUAACACGUGAGGAACCUGCCCCGAAGACCGGGAUAACCCUCCGAAAGGAGAGCUAAUACCGGAUACCCCCACCGAAUCGCAUGGUUCGGUGAGGAAAUGGAUUCCGCUUCGGGAGGGCCUCGCGGCCUAUCAGCUUGUUGGUGGGGUAACGGCCUACCAAGGCAUCGACGGGUAGCUGGUCUGAGAGGACGAUCAGCCACACUGGGACUGAGACACGGCCCAGACUCCUACGGGAGGCAGCAGUUAGGAAUCUUGCGCAAUGGGCGAAAGCCUGACGCAGCAACGCCGCGUGGGGGACGAAGGCUCUCGGGUUGUAAACCCCUUUCAGUGGGGACGAAUCAAGACGGUACCCACAGAAGAAGCCCCGGCCAACUACGUGCCAGCAGCCGCGGUAACACGUAGGGGGCAAGCGUUGUCCGGAUUUAUUGGGCGUAAAGAGCUCGUAGGCGGUUCGCUAAGUCGGGUGUGAAACCUCCAGGCUCAACCUGGAGACGCCACCCGAUACUGGUGUGACUCGAGUCCGGUAGGGGAGCGUGGAAUUCCUGGUGUAGCGGUGAAAUGCGCAGAUAUCAGGAGGAACACCAGCGGCGAAGGCGGCGCUCUGGGCCGGAACUGACGCUGAGGAGCGAAAGCGUGGGUAGCAAACAGGAUUAGAUACCCUAGUAGUCC